This is a long non-coding RNA of Myotis brandtii (Brandt's bat), 604 nucleotides long. RefSeq lists it as uncharacterized. The record is from RefSeq and is a predicted model, not a curated record. Lineage: Eukaryota; Metazoa; Chordata; Mammalia; Chiroptera; Vespertilionidae. The transcript is spliced from 2 exons.
CUGUUGCGGAAAGAGCAGCCAAUAAGGUUGGGGUGAGCACAAGAAACGUCCCACGCAGUUUCCAGAGCCAGAGAAGGGUUUCCAUGUCCAGCUGCCACAAGACUGAGAGGUACGCAGUUGAUCUCAAAGCCAGGUACAGGUUGGGUAGUUGUGGCAUCUCCGGUUGUGUAUAGGAAAGCUAAUGUGAACCUCCAAGCUUCAAGAUGUCCUUCAGCCCUGCUUUCAAGUUAGCAAGAUGCCAAGAUCUGUAAGUGAAACUAACUGAGGCCCGUAUGGAGGCUGAAAAGGAGCCUGGAAGAGAAACAGAAGAUGAGAUGACAUGCCAGGAGAAGUUCACAUGAAGAUGGAGGCAAAGAUGGGAGUGAUGCAGCUACAAGCCAAGGAAUGCCGGCAGCCACCAAAGAUGUAGAUAAAAGGAAUGGAAUCUUUCCUAGAGCCUGUGGAGAAAAUGAGGGCUUGCCCAUACUUUGAUUUGGAUUGCUGGCUUCCAGAAUGUCAGAGAAUAACUUUUUUAUUUUAAGUUAUUCAGGUUGUGGAAAUUUAUUAUGGCAGCCACAAGAAACUAAUGCAUUGUCUCCCUCAAGGAAAAGGAGAUCAUCUCCCA